UUUUUGGCAAACCUUAGGCGCUCUUUCCCCCACCCUGUAAUUAAGGCAGAAGUAAACAGUAAGAGAAUAUCAAAUUGCAGCUUGCUUCAGUAAUAGGUGCCCAGGUGGAGCUGCAGCUUGUGCAGACCUGUGCCUUGAGACAGAAGGGCAGCCUCUCUGGGGAGCACUCUAACAGGUCCCCAGAUCUGACACAUCAAGAUUAAGUCCUGAAGAUUUGGAGCUGAGUGACAAGAAAGGGUGGUACGCCUACCACAGCAUGGCUGCCAAGCAGUGCCAUGUCCGCACCCGGGAUCCGAACCGGCGAACCCUGGGCCGCCGAGAAGCGGAACGUGAGAACUUAACCACUGCACCACCGGGCCGGCCCCUACAAAUUACCUUUUAAAAAAUAAAAAGAGAUCAUUCAAAGGGUGGUGACAUGAUACACGGUAUAGAUGUGCGCAUGUACUCAACUGAAAGAGGAAUGUUAACAAUAUAAUGAAAUUAGGCACUCCCUCUCGCCCUCUCACUUGCUCACUCUGAUGAAGCGAGCUGAGCUGCCCUCUUCUGAGCUGCCCUUCUAAGAGGCCCAUGUGGCAAAGACUGAGGGCCACCUCACUGAGAGACCAAAGCCCUCAGUCCAACAGCCCUUGAGGAACUGAAUCUUGCCAAUUCGGUAACUUGACUGAGUUUGGAAGUGGAUCCUUCCCCCGUUUAUCCAAGAGAUGGCUGCAGUCUCCGCUGACACCUUGAUUGCAGCCUUGUGAGAGACCCAAAGCUGGAGGACCCAGCUAAGCCACCGCCAGAUUCCUGACCUACCGGAACUGGAAUAAUUACACAACAACAGAUAAUUAAGACAAAUGAUAAUGUUCAUAACUAGCAUUCUUGAGUGUUAGCUGUAUGUCAGGCACUGUGCUAAGUGAUUUACGUGUGAUUUCUCUUUUCAUCUUCACAGCAGUCCCAUGAAGAAGAUAGUAGUAAUCUCAUUUUAUAGAUGGGGAAACUGAGGCUUAGAGGAAUUCGCCAAAGUUACAGAGCUAGUGAGUAAACUCAGAGUGUAAACCUGUGUAGUCUUGCUCUAGAGCCUGGGUGCUUAAACAGGGUGUUCUGUUUGCUCUGCUACAUCAACUAAUCCCUCUCAUCCUGAAUACACUUUUUGCUGAACUGGCUGGUUUUUUAAAUGGAACUACAUUGCUGUUUUUGAAUAAAGUAAUCCCAGGCCUGGGCCCUUGGUCACCUCAGAGAUGGGCAGGCAAAAGCCAGAGACGGGACCAGCAGCCUUGUGUGAAAAACAUAUUCCGAGCACUUGUGUUCUUUGAUUUGGAGCUGACAUUUGUCCUAGCCGUAGUAACGGAGGAGAGGGAAGGAUGAGAGUGGGGAAGGGUGAUUCAUUAUUUCAGCUCUUGUGUCAGCAUAUCAGACUGUGAGGAUGAAAACAAAUCAAGAGAGAAUGUUGUUGGGAUGGUUCGGAUAUGUUUCAGUUGGGACCUACCAAGAAAAAAGGAAAUAAUACGUAAAGUGUUGUGAUGUAAAACAAUUAUUGUGAGAAUAGUUAUAUUGCUUUUAAAAAAAAACUAUUUUGGAAAUAGCUUUUAUCUCUUUUAAUGUAACAGUAGUUAUUAUUACAUGCUUGAUAUAAUAAAAACAUGAAUAGAACAACUGAGAAAAUUAUAGAGAGUGGAUAUCACCCCCAGUCCCACCCAAUAGCAUUAAACAGAUGGAUAGUUUUUACUGUUUCAUAAUAUGUUUGCCUCUUAUUACGGCUAUCUUUUCAUGUCAAUAACUAGGUCGACAUCAUUGUUUGCAGUGUUCUGCUGUUAAGUAUGUUAAAUCAUUUAUCCAAAAUAAUUUCCUGGAUAUUUAAGUUGCUUCCAGUUUUCUGUAAUAAACAACUCCAUGAAAGGUCAC
RNAcentral lists this long non-coding RNA (1884 nucleotides) under Equus caballus (horse). RNAcentral describes it as "lncRNA (ENSECAG00000058395.1)". The record is from RNAcentral. Lineage: Eukaryota; Metazoa; Chordata; Mammalia; Perissodactyla; Equidae.